AGUGAACGCUGGCGGUAGGCCUAACACAUGCCAGUCGAACGGCAGCACAGUAAGAGCUUGCUCUUACGGGUGGCGAGUGGCGGACGGGUGAGGAAUGCAUCGGAUUCUACUUUUUCGUGGGGGCUAACGUAGGGAAACUUACGCUAAUACCGCAUACGACCUACGGGUGACAGCAGGGGAUCUUCGGACCUUGCGCGAUUGAAUGAGCCGAUGUCGGAUUAGCUAGUUGGCGGGGUAAAGGCACACGAAGGCGACGCUCGGUAGCUGGUCUGAGAGGAUCAACAGGCACACUGGAAGAGAGACACGGCCCAGACACCUGCGCGAAGCAACAGUGGGGAAUAUUGGACAAGGGGGGCGAGCCUGAUCCAGCCCUACCGCGUGAGUGAAGACGGCGUUCGGGUUGUAAAGCCCUUUUGUUGGGAAAGAAAAGCAGCAGUUUAAUACCCCGCUGUUCUGACGGUACCCGAAGAAUAAGCACCGGCUAACUUCGUG
RNAcentral lists this ribosomal RNA (492 nucleotides) under uncultured bacterium. Its description in RNAcentral is "partial 16S ribosomal RNA". It matches the Rfam family "Bacterial small subunit ribosomal RNA", at positions 29 to 507 of the family's 1533-position model. The record is from RNAcentral.